RNAcentral lists this ribosomal RNA (1404 nucleotides) under uncultured bacterium. RNAcentral's name for it is "16S ribosomal RNA". It matches the Rfam family "Bacterial small subunit ribosomal RNA". The record is from RNAcentral.
UUCGCCCUUAGAGUUUGAUCCUGGCUCAGGAUGAACGCUGGCGGCGUGCUUAACACAUGCAAGUCGAACGGGGGUCAUUUUGCGGAAGUCUUCGGACGGAAGUGAUUUGACUCGAGUGGCGGACGGGUGAGUAACACGUGAGCAACCUGCCUUUUGCUGGGGAAUAACUGUGGGAAACCAUGGCUAAUACCGCAUGUUGUGCCAACUGGGCAUCCGGUUGGUAUGAAAGGAGAAAUCCGGCAGAAGAUGGGCUCGCGUCCGAUUAGAUAGUUGGUGAGGUAACGGCUCACCAAGUCAGCGAUCGGUAGCCGGACUGAGAGGUUGAACGGCCACAUUGGGACUGAGACACGGCCCAGACUCCUACGGGAGGCAGCAGUGGGGAAUAUUGCACAAUGGGCGAAAGCCUGAUGCAGCAACGCCGCGUGAGGGAAGACGGUCUUCGGAUUGUAAACCUUUAACUUUGGGGAAGAAAGAAAUGACGGUACCCAAAGGAGCAGCCACGGCUAACUACGUGCCAGCAGCCGCGGUAACACGUAGGUGGCAAGCGUUGUCCGGAAUUACUGGGUGUAAAGGGAGCGCAGGCGGGGAGACAAGUCGGCUGUGAAAUGCACAGGCUUAACCUGUGAAUUGCAGUUGAAACUGUUUUUCUUGAGUGGAGUAGAGGUAGGCGGAAUUCCGAGUGUAGCGGUGAAAUGCGUAGAUAUUCGGAGGAACACCAGUGGCGAAGGCGGCCUACUGGGCUCUAACUGACGCUGAGGCUCGAAAGUGUGGGGAGCAAACAGGAUUAGAUACCCUGGUAGUCCACACUGUAAACGACGCAUUACUAGGUGUGGGGGGGUCUGACCCCUUCCGUGCCGGAGGUAACGCAAUAAGCAAUCCACCUGGGGAGUGCGGCCGCAAGGGUGAAAUUCAAAAGAAUUGACGGGGACCCGCACAAGCAGUGGAUUAUGUGGUUUAAUUUGACGCAACGCGAAGAACCUUACCAGGUCUUGACAUCCGACUAACGAAUCAGAGAGGAAUUAGGUGCCCUUCGGGGAAAGAUGAGACAGGUGGUGCAUGGUUGUCGUCAGCUCGUGUCGUGAGAUGUUGGGUUAAGUCCCGCAACGAGCGCAACCCCUCCCAUUAGUUGCUACGCAAGAGCACUCUAAUGGGACCGCUACCGACAAGGUGGAGGAAGGUGGGGAGGACGUCAAAUCAUCAUGCCCCUUAUGACCUGGGGUACACACGUAAUACAAUGGUCGUUAACAACGGGAAGCGAAGCCGCGAGGCGGAGCAAAACCCCAAAAACGGUCUCAGUUCGGAUUGCAGGCUGCAACUCGCCUGCAUGAAGUAGGAAUUGCUAGUAAUCGCAGAUCAGCAUGCUGCGGUGAAUAAAAAACCGGGUCUUGUACACACCGCCCGUCA